GUCGAUAAAAAUAUUAUGGAAAAUAAUACUAAAAAAAAUGUUGAAAAAAAGGAGUGGAAGAAAACAUAAGUCAUUGAAGAGGUAGACGUUGGAUACUCCAUGCACCUACACCUACACCAGGAUUUUGGGCGGCCAUGUUAUGGGUAUAGGGCCCACACUUGCACCCGGGGUAGAAUCGAAAUUUUCAUUAUAUUCUUUUUCCAAUGUUACUUAAAUAAAUAUUACUAUAGUUCGUUCACCAUAACUAUUAAA
Molecule: non-coding RNA, 252 nt
Organism: Cinara cedri
Lineage: Eukaryota; Metazoa; Arthropoda; Insecta; Hemiptera; Aphididae
Source: the annotation of a GenBank genome assembly